GAUGAACGCUGGCGGCGUGCCUAAUACAUGCCAGUCGAGCGAACGGACGAGAAGCUUGCUUCUCUGAUGUUAGCGGCGGACGGGUGAGUAACACGUGGAUAACCUACCUAUAAGACUGGGAUAACUUCGGGAAACCGGAGCUAAUACCGGAUAAUAUUUUGAACCGCAUGGUUCAAAAGUGAAAGACGGUCUUGCUGUCACUUAUAGAUGGAUCCGCGCUGCAUUAGCUAGUUGGUAAGGUAACGGCUUACCAAGGCAACGAUGCAUAGCCGACCUGAGAGGGUGAUCGGCCACACUGGAACUGAGACACGGUCCAGACUCCUACGGGAGGCAGCAGUAGGGAAUCUUCCGCAAUGGGCGAAAGCCUGACGGAGCAACGCCGCGUGAGUGAUGAAGGUCUUCGGAGCGUAAAACUCUGUUAUUAGGGAAGAACAUAUGUGUAAGUAACUGUGCACAUCUUGACGGUACCUAAUCAGAAAGCCACGGCUAACUACGUG
This 497-nucleotide ribosomal RNA is filed under the name uncultured bacterium. RNAcentral's name for it is "partial 16S ribosomal RNA". It matches the Rfam family "Bacterial small subunit ribosomal RNA", at positions 28 to 507 of the family's 1533-position model. The record is from RNAcentral.